Molecule: ribosomal RNA, 294 nt
Filed under: uncultured bacterium
Lineage: Bacteria
Description: partial 16S ribosomal RNA
Rfam family: Bacterial small subunit ribosomal RNA
Source: RNAcentral
CUUGUCCUACGGGGGGCAGCAGUAGGGAAUCUUCCACAAUGGGCGAAAGCCUGAUGGAGCAACGCCGCGUGGGUGAAGAAGGCCUUCGGAUCGUAAAACCCUGUUGUUAGAGAAGAAAGUGCGUGAGAGUAACUGUUCACGUUUCGACGGUAUCUAACCAGAAAGCCACGGCUAACUACGUGCCAGCAGCCGCGGUAAUACGUAGGUGGCAAGCGUUAUCCGGAUUUAUUGGGCGUAAAGGGAACGCAGUCGGUCUUUUAAGUAUGAUGUGAAAGCAUUCGGCUUAACCGGAGU